RNAcentral lists this non-coding RNA (30 nucleotides) under Rattus norvegicus (Norway rat). The record is from RNAcentral. Lineage: Eukaryota; Metazoa; Chordata; Mammalia; Rodentia; Muridae.
UGCUUGAGGUUUAGUUUCUUUGUGCUGCGU